This 254-nucleotide ribosomal RNA is filed under the name uncultured bacterium. RNAcentral describes it as "partial 16S ribosomal RNA". It matches the Rfam family "Bacterial small subunit ribosomal RNA", at positions 524 to 776 of the family's 1533-position model. The record is from RNAcentral.
UACAGAGGGUGCGAGCGUUGUUCGGAAUUAUUGGGCGUAAAGAGCUCGUAGGCGGUUCGGUAAGUCGGGUGUGAAAACUUUGGGCUCAACCCAAAGCCUGCACCCGAUACUGCUGUGACUUGAGUCCGGUAGGGGAGUGGGGAAUUCCUGGUGUAGCGGUGGAAUGCGCAGAUAUCAGGAGGAACACCGGUGGCGAAGGCGCCACUCUGGGCCGGUACUGACGCUGAGGAGCGAAAGCGUGGGGAGCGAACAGG